This 311-nucleotide long non-coding RNA is filed under the name Diabrotica virgifera virgifera (western corn rootworm). Its description in RNAcentral is "uncharacterized LOC126887817". Lineage: Eukaryota; Metazoa; Arthropoda; Insecta; Coleoptera; Chrysomelidae. The record is from RNAcentral.
UUUAUUUAUUUUGUUAAGAGAUUCGAGAUUGUAUUUCUAACCUAACAAGUUUAAAAUUUUGAAUUGUUGUGUUAUCAUACAAAUGUUGUAAAAGAUGAUGAACCUCAGUUCAAGUGAUGAAGAUUUGGAAGAGAUUGUAGGACUUUUAAAUGUUCCAAAAAAUGCAAAUUUUUUUGAGGAAACUGUGCAACAAUUUAAUAACCAACAAUUUAUACAGAAUUUUAGAUUAAGUAGAGACUUAGCUGUAGAUUUGGCAAAUAAGUAUGAAAGAUCUCAUUUCCACAAUAUUAUGUAAAAUUACUUUUCCUGUU